AAAUAGCUUAAUUAGAGCAUGACGUUGAAGGUGUUAGGGUGGUAUUUAUUACCUUUGAGUA
Molecule: transfer RNA, 61 nt
Filed under: Dosidicus gigas (jumbo flying squid)
Lineage: Eukaryota; Metazoa; Mollusca; Cephalopoda; Oegopsida; Ommastrephidae
Description: tRNA-Phe
Source: RNAcentral